This 2053-nucleotide unclassified non-coding RNA is filed under the name Hevea brasiliensis (rubber tree). The record is from RNAcentral. Lineage: Eukaryota; Viridiplantae; Streptophyta; Magnoliopsida; Malpighiales; Euphorbiaceae.
GAGCAACUCAUCCAAAACUCUGCAGAAAUGGCUCCAACGCUGUACUUCAAGCCCUGCAUUUCUCAUCCUUCAAUUAAUUGGAACCCAUCAAAAGUGUUUGUCAAUCCUCUCAAUGUAAACGCUAAAAUCAGUGGGAGAUUAGAGGUAGUAGCUAUGGGUAUGUUGUCUCCUAGAAAAUUUUUGCAGAAGAGAAGGAGAAUGGAAGUAUUCAAAAACGCCGCCGAUGAAGCAGACCAGAAGAAUUGGAGGGGACUUAUGAAGCAAAUUGAGGACACGGGUUCUGCUGUUUCAGUUCUCAAAAGCAAGAGGACCCAGAAUCAUGCUCUUCCUAAAGACCUCGUUUUGGGUACUUUGGUUAGAUUUAAGCAGCUAAAGAAAUGGAAUCUUGUUGCUGAGAUUUUGGAAUGGCUUCGGACUCAGCAUUGGUGGGACUUCAAUGAAAUGGAUUCUCUGAUGCUUAUAACAGCUCAUGGAAAGCUAGGGAACUUCAACGAGGCUGAGAAGGUCUUGAGCUAUAUGAAUAAGAUGGGUUAUGUGCCGAAUGUUGUGUCCCAUACUGCCCUUAUGGAGGCCUAUGGAAGAGGAGCUCGAUAUAAUAAUGCUGAAGCCAUUUUUCGGAGGAUGCAAUUGUCUGGCCCUAAGCCUUCUGCUGUAACGUAUCAAAUAAUACUAAAAAUAUUUGUUGAGGGAAACAAGUUUAAGGAAGCUGAAGAAGUCUUUGAGACUCUUUUAAAUGAGGAAAAAUCGCCUUUGAGACCUGACCAAAAAAUGUUCCACAUGAUGAUAUUCAUGUAUAGAAAAGCUGGGAAUUACGAAAAAGCUCGUAAAAUAUUUUCACUAAUGACUGAGCGAAGAGUCCCACAAUCUACUGUCACAUAUAAUAGUCUGAUGUCAUUUGAGACCAAUUACAAGGAAGUUUCAAAAAUCUAUGACCAGAUUUUGAAGUAAAUCCAUAAUUUUAGAUGCAAAGAUCUGGUCUUCAACCUGAUGUUGUGAGCUAUGCAUUACUCAUCAAUGCUUAUGGAAAAGCUCGGAGGGAAGAAGAAGCUUUAGCUGUUUUUGAGGAGAUGCUGGAUGCAGGUGUCAGGCCGACCCACAAAGCAUAUAACAUUUUGCUUCAUGCCUUUGCAAUCUCGGGAAUGGUGGAGCAAGCUAGAACGGUGUUCAAGAGCAUGAGAAGAGAUAGAUACACACCAGAUCUUUGCUCUUAUACAACAAUGUUAUCAGCCUACAUAAAUGCAUCUGACAUGGUUGGUGCUGAAAAUUUCUUCAAUAGACUGAAACAAGAUGGAUUUGAACCCAAUGUUGUCACUUGUGGGGUAUUGAUCAAAGGGUAUGCGAAGAUAAAUAAUCUUGAGAAGAUGAUGGAAAAGUAUGAAGAAAUGCAGUUAAAUGGUGUCAAAGCAAAUCAAACUAUUUUCACUACAAUAAUGGAUGCAUAUGGUAGGAACAAUGAUUUUGGAAGCGCUGUUAUUUGGUACAAGGAAAUGGAGAACCAUGGGGUUCCUCCUGACCGGAAAGCAAAGAACAUUCUUUUGUCUUUGGCCAAAACAGCUGAUGAACAGGAAGAAGCUAAUCAACUUGUAGGAAAUAUGGAUAAUUGUGGCAUUGUUCAGAGCAUUAAUGUGGCUUCUAGGAUUAAUGAUGAUGAUGAUGAUGAUUGGGAUGACGACGGUGAUGACAUCGGUGAAGUAGAGAAUGCUGGAGAUACAAUUUUUAGUAAUCAAGAACAAGAAGAAUUGAUAGCUUUAAAUAAAGAUAAUCAUAAAAAUGGAGAAGGCCUACAUGCGCUUAAAGUUGUUGAUUUGUAGGUUUGUAGGCUUAUAAAUUUUGGGUUGAAUUUGUUAUUACUUUAGCUGCAAAAAUGAUUUUACUUAGGGUUGUCCGGUAAAUGCAACGGAUAAUUAAUAGUGGUCGCUGAAAGAUAGUAGCUAAUAACUAAUUAGUUACUAAUAGUUGUUGUUUUUGAUGUAUUUUAAACAUUUGAUCAAAUUAUGUUUAAUUGUUAUUGUUAUUAUUAAUAUGUAAAAUGAUGAGUAAUGGUUUAUAUUAA